RNAcentral lists this ribosomal RNA (445 nucleotides) under uncultured bacterium. RNAcentral describes it as "SSU rRNA". It matches the Rfam family "Bacterial small subunit ribosomal RNA", at positions 26 to 518 of the family's 1533-position model. The record is from RNAcentral.
AGAGCGAACGCUGGCGGCAGGCCUAAUACAUGCAAGUCGAACGGAUCCUUCGGGAUUAGUGGCGGACGGUUGAGUAACACGUGGGAACGUACCCUUUGGUUCGGAACAACUCAGGGAAACUUGAGCUAAUACCGAAUGUGCCCUUCGGGGAAAAGAUUUAUCGCCAUUGGAGCUGCCCGCGUCUGAUUAGCUAGUUGGUAGGGUAAAGGCCUACCAAGGCUACGAUCAGUAGCUGGUCUGAGAGGAUGAUCAGCCACACUGGGACUGAGACACGGCCCAGACUCCUACGGGAGGCAGCAGUAGGGAAUCUUGCGCAAUGGGCGAAAGCCUGACGCAGCCAUGCCGCGUGAAUGAUGAAGGUCUUAGGAUUGUAAAAUUCUUUCAGCGGGGACGAUAAUGACGGUACCGCAGAAGAAGCCCCGGCUAACUUCGCGCCAGCAGCCGC